UUUUCUUAGUAAUCUCUGCAACCAAUGUGGUGCUCCAACUCACAACCCUGAGAUCAAGAGUCUCACGCUCUUCCAACUGAACCACCCAGGUCCCUCCUAUAGGUACUUUUUCAUAAAAUCAUGACUAAAUUUCAACCAAUAAAAUUUCGAGUGUUUUCUAAUGGAGCCACGCUGUUUUUAAUAACUAUUAACUUGUUCAAGUCUGUGUUUCCUACUAAGAAAUUUUCCUAUUCCUUUUGGCCCCUUAGGAAUAGGUCAAAUGCAGCAGCACUGGCUACACCUAAACCUGGCAUGAAUUCUAUCUGUAGGGAUCUCUAAUGAUAUGUACAAGUUUCUCAGGAGCAAAAAUACCUCCUUUUUGGCUUCAUAUUUCUACACUGUCUUGUCUUAUUCUGUUAACGGAAAAAAGAAAGAAGAAAGGGAGGGAGAGAAAAUCCUCAGUGAGGGAAAAUACCUUAGCAGUAUAUAUAAUGCCCCAUCCAGAAGUGUAUUUAAGAAGGCCUUGGAAAUUCAAGGUAAGAAGAAACAGCAGUAAAAAAAAAAAAAAAAAAAAAAAUUAAAAAGAAAAAGAAGAAACAGCAGUAUCAUCCUUUAUACUUAACAAUCAUUGACUAGAUUAGUUGUUCCCUGGAGUCUGCAGUGGUUCCCACUCACGAUUUGACCCGCUGAUUGAAUAGGAGAGGAAAUCAAGUAAGUAGUCUGAAAGGGAGAUUGCAUAAUAUGAAUAGUAAUUGUAUGUAAUUCUAAAAUUAAAUCUACCUCUCUAUCUACCCAUCUGACACAUCUUAGAAAAACAUUAUAAAGUUCUAGGAUUUUAUCUUGCUUAUUCUCCUGGUUUGCUUUAGGUAAGCGCUUGUUAAUAAUAGCAGCUGUUGUAAAUCCAAACCCAACCAAGCCCUAUUGUGCCCUUAGGUUUUGUGAUUUAUUGUGAUACCUUCCUUCAUACGGAGGAGAUAGCCCACUUUUAUUUUUCCUGAAGUACAAAUAUAAAAUUGCUGCUGUUGAAUUAUUUCUGCUGCAGUUAGGGAGAAAAGAGGAAAAUGAGCUUCACUAGGUAAGCACCUGACAUGAUGAAGCUCGUUUUCUUAUAAAUUAUGGCAAAGGAAUAGAAAUAAUUAACUUAGAACAAACAUAUGUCCAAAAAAGCAAUGACUCUUCUGCGAAUUUGCUACGGCAAAGAUAACUACUUUUCACAUUAUAUGGAAAGGUUAGAAAAAUGAGUAGAAAUAUUUUACAAAUAUUUUUACAUAAGAAACAUAAAGAACUAAAUAAAAUAUAUUUAAUAUGUCAGAAGAAAACUAUUUAAAAUAAAAAGCUACACACUGCUUGUUUGGUAUAGAUAUAAAAAUACAUAAAAGAAGGUAUUGUCAUCUUAGCGAGGCCAAAAGAGUAGUUCAAGAAAUCUGAGUUUGGUACCUAAUUUAUCCAUGAAAGAGCUAUGUGCUCUUCUGCAAAGGACAAAGCCUCACCUGUGUUACUUUUGUCAUGUGUGAAAAUAACAAAUGUUGAAUUAAAUGAUACCUAGAUUCUAUUCAAUUUUAACAUUUUAUAAUUUGGGAAAUCUACAUUUUAUAUAGUGAUAUGUAUUUAAUGGGUUUUUAAAUCUUUAAUUAUAGUAAAAAGCGCAUAACAUAAAAGUUACCAUCUCAACCAUUUUUGUAAGUCUGCAGUUCAGUAGUGUUAAGUCUGUUCACAUUUUUUUUAACAGAUCGCCAGGACUUUCACAUCAUGCAAAACAGAAACUCGGUACCCAUUAGGCAGCAAUUCCUCAUUCCUCCUUGAAGCCUCUCGUAAAACACCUUUCUGCUUUCUAUUUCUAUGAAUUCGACUACUUUAGAUACCUCAUAUGAGUGGAAUCAUAGAGUAUUUGCCUUUCUGUGUUUGGUUUAUUUAACUUUAACAUAAUAUCCUCAAGAUUCAUCUAUAUUUGUGACAUGUGACAGGAUUUCCUUCCAUUUUAAGACCAAAUAAGAUUCCAUUGUAUGUAUAUAUCUCACUUCAUCUGUUCAUCUGACGAACACUUGGUUUGCUUAUCCUCUUGGAUAUGGUGAAUAAUGUUACUUUGAACAUGAUGUGCGAUAUCUCUUCAAGACCCUGCUUUCAAAAAAAAAAAAAAAAAAA
RNAcentral lists this long non-coding RNA (2121 nucleotides) under Canis lupus familiaris (dog). RNAcentral's name for it is "lncRNA (ENSCAFG00000050093.1)". Lineage: Eukaryota; Metazoa; Chordata; Mammalia; Carnivora; Canidae. The record is from RNAcentral.